Molecule: long non-coding RNA, 347 nt
Filed under: Cimex lectularius (bed bug)
Lineage: Eukaryota; Metazoa; Arthropoda; Insecta; Hemiptera; Cimicidae
Description: uncharacterized LOC106670937, transcript variant X1
Source: RNAcentral
AAGUUUAUAGCGUUUGGAUUUAGUGCGGUGUUAGUGAUGGACAAGGUGCUUGUCUUUAUAUUUAUCCUCUGCGUCGCUCAGGGAUCCUUCAUCAUCAGAGAAGUCUACACGCUUAGCUCAUUCUUGAGCAAACACGUUAGUAACGCGACUGAACUACCUCUGACCUACCCGGUCUCCGGCAUGACUCUGAUCAAGGCCCCGCCGAGGAUAAUUAAAUGCGGGGCGAACAGGAAACCUGACUCCAAAGGGAAGUGUAGACUCAUUUGGAAAUAAUACCGACAUCUUUCCCCAAAGGUCUGACAAUCUGGGAACUCGAUGAAUCGGGCUUAUUUAUUUUAAAUUUAUUC